This 423-nucleotide ribosomal RNA is filed under the name uncultured bacterium. Its description in RNAcentral is "bacterial SSU rRNA". It matches the Rfam family "Bacterial small subunit ribosomal RNA", at positions 355 to 776 of the family's 1533-position model. The record is from RNAcentral.
UAGGGAAUAUUGGUCAAUGGGUGAGAGCCUGAACCAGCCAUGCCGCGUGCAGGAAGACGGCCUUCUGGGUUGUAAACUGCUUUUAUCUGGGGAUAAAAUAUCCUUGCGAGGAGAAUUGAAGGUACCAGAGGAAUAAGCCACGGCUAACUACGUGCCAGCAGCCGCGGUAAUACGUAGGUGGCAAGCGUUGUCCGGAUUUAUUGGGUUUAAAGGGUGCGUAGGCGGCUUUGUAAGUCAGUGGUGAAAUACGGCAGCUCAACUGUCGAGGUGCCAUUGAUACUGCAGAGCUAGAGUACUGAUGAGGUAGGCGGAAUGGACGGUGUAGCGGUGAAAUGCUUAGAUAUCGUCCAGAACACCGAUAGCGAAGGCAGCUUACUAAAGAGUAACUGACGCUGAGGCACGAAAGUGUGGGGAUCAAACAGG